Long non-coding RNA from Triticum aestivum (bread wheat), 1171 nucleotides. RefSeq lists it as uncharacterized. The record is from RefSeq and is a predicted model, not a curated record. NCBI's taxonomy places the organism in Eukaryota, Viridiplantae, Streptophyta, Magnoliopsida, Poales, Poaceae. The transcript is spliced from 2 exons.
GUGCUCUUUUCUCGCUCCCCGGAGAACCUCUUUACCGCUGCCCCACCAUCUCCCCCCCUCGUAUCUGGCACAUCAGGUCCGGCACCACCACCGCAUCAUCGGAUCCGGUGCCGUUCUGCGUGCCAUUCGCCUUGUUGGCGGAGUGAUGGCGGCGGUGACCUGCGUUGAUUGGGGAUUAGGCCGUGCAGCUUCGGCGAACAAGGCUCCUCGCGCGCGGAUGACGACGGUGCAGUGGCCCUGCAGUUUGCUUUGCAGGGGCUCCAUUGAUGCGGCCAUGGAGUUCGGCUCACAGUUUUGUCGGUGACACUGGAGCCUUGUAGUCCACUGACUCCGGGGUGAGUAGUGUAGAGGACACGGGUGUGCAGCUCCCCGUCCCUGUAGUUGUCCACUGAACAUGUAGAAGCCCAUCUUGCUGCAGUGUAUGUGAGCAUAUGGCCUGCAAGUGCUGCUCUUCAUUCCAGAUUGCAAAACAUUGAGGUGUGGUUCGAUGGCCAUCGACGUUGGUGCGGACGUGCAUUUUUGGCGCAACUCGUUUUCUUUCCUAUCAUAUUUUCCUACACUUCAGAGCUUUUGCAAAAAAUGAUUGGUGUAGGUGCUCAAACAGUGCAGCUCAAGCCUCGCGGCUGUGUUGUUGACUGUGUGACUGUGGCCACCUUCUACUAUGGCACGUACCUCCCAACUUGGCCCAGCCUCCAAUGCCUCCUUCCUGACCAUUCGCAAGGUGAAGCCGCCUCCUAUUUUGCAGGGGUGUGUGCGUGCAGUACGGCAGCCGCAAUGGUGCAGUCCGGCGGGGUAGCGUGUGCAGUGCUCAUCUGAUGCGAUUCGGUUUUUGUAUUGUGUUUAGUUUUACAGUGUGGUGCAACUCACUCUUUUUGUUUUGCAGCUCACUCUUGUUUUGUUUUGCAGCUCACUCUUUUUUUCUUCUGAAAAUCAUUUGCAGUGCACUCAGAGAAGAGAACAUCGAUAAGAGAACAUCUAUGUUCAUUUUAAGUUUGAUUUGUUGUUUAUGGGAAACACAUAGAGAAAAGGGUAGUAAGAAUGGAUGGUCAUUUUGUAUAAGAAAGUCUUUCCCUAGUGGAGUUUUGUUGGGUACUGCAUCGUUGAUUCUGUUGUGUACUAGAUGGUUGUGUGGUUGUGUAAAAAAUAAUGGAUGGAUAUGUAUGUUUUUGAA